RNAcentral lists this long non-coding RNA (762 nucleotides) under Phoenix dactylifera (date palm). Its description in RNAcentral is "long non-coding RNA (PDAC_LNC002853)". The record is from RNAcentral. Lineage: Eukaryota; Viridiplantae; Streptophyta; Magnoliopsida; Arecales; Arecaceae.
UCACCUAAGAUCCACAUAAUGGGUAACGAGCUAACUGGCCAUCUUUUCUAGUAAGGACUUUUCCUGUAUGCAAUCUGCUUCUCAAAGCUAGCCAAAGAAACACUUUGACUUUCUCCUACAUGGCGGCUUUCCAAAUAGUUUUGUGGUAAGGGAGGAGGAGUCACCAUUAUUAAAGAAUUUGUAAUAGGAGUCCAUUAAAAAAUUCCAUUUUGGUUGAGCUUCCAUACUAGUAUAUCUGCAAUCCUAGUAGGUUUGAUAAAGCUAAGAAGAUCUUGGAGGCUGUCUAGCUAACUAGCUUCGUGAUGGGAAAGUGGGCCAUGCAACCUCAUGUUUCAUCUCUAGCUCCAUUGGGAUGCAGCAGAAACAUAAUGCUUGAUAGCUCUGUGAUAUAGAUCAGAAAAGAGUGAAGAUAGUUGAACUGGGCCAAUCCUUCCAAAAGCAAAUGCUCUUUCUGAAACUUUAAGGAUAUGCAAUUCCAAAAAGCAUCAAGAUCCUUACUGAUAUCUUUUCGGAUAGGAGAGUUUAACCAAGCUUCGAUUUACUCUCAUUCCAAGUAUUCUUGAGCCUUUGAUCAAUUUCCAGGCCUAUUUUACCAAUAAAGCGAGGUUCAUAAGUCUUAAAAUUUUUCAACCAUAAACCUCUUCUUCGUUGGAAUGACAGAUAUUUCCCUACUUUAUAAAGCAACGAAAUGCACUAACAUUCUCUUCCGCUUUCCACAGAAAAGCUGGCCUUAUUUGAUUUGUUGACAACACAUCUUGGCAG